This 567-nucleotide long non-coding RNA is filed under the name Eucalyptus grandis. Its description in RNAcentral is "long non-coding RNA (EGRA_LNC005894)". Lineage: Eukaryota; Viridiplantae; Streptophyta; Magnoliopsida; Myrtales; Myrtaceae. The record is from RNAcentral.
CGUACCAACCAACAGCCUCGAGACAAUCACACCGAGAAGCUGCUGCUUCGGCUGUUGCGACUUCAGGAGCCCCAGAAAUUCACAAGCUUGGCCGCACGCAACUCGUGAUCCCUCGCCAUGACGUCCAGCAGUCCCUUCGGCGUGCUGCAGUGUUCUUCAAUCUAGACUAACAAAAUUCCCUCUGCCACAGUACUGAAUCAACACCGCAUCAUCGCUACAGCAACUUCUCCAUGCAAGCCCAGUCUUCUUCGCUGCCGUGGCUGGUGUUGUUGUGGCUCGAUAAUCCUCAACUGGCCGUGAAUCAGCCUUUGGUCAAGUUUGAUUUUUUUUCUUUUGCAGGUCUUCUCAGAGUACCCAACAGAGACGUCCACACGACAAACCCGAAGGGAGAGGACGCAUGCCUCCACUUCUCAUAAAAUCCACGGAAGAAAAAUUCUGGGCAUAAACAUUCCUAGUAAAAGAGGGUUUCUAAAGCGGUCCCGAAGCUUCCUUUUAACAUCAACGACGAAGCAGCCACGCCUUGCACAAAGCACGCUAGUCUUUCCUUAGAGGUUGAAAAUUUAAGUG